Molecule: non-coding RNA, 27 nt
Filed under: Mus musculus (house mouse)
Lineage: Eukaryota; Metazoa; Chordata; Mammalia; Rodentia; Muridae
Source: RNAcentral
UAUAACCGGGCUCUGAGCAGGUGCAGU